Molecule: long non-coding RNA, 274 nt
Organism: Rhipicephalus microplus (southern cattle tick)
Lineage: Eukaryota; Metazoa; Arthropoda; Arachnida; Ixodida; Ixodidae
Source: RefSeq, a predicted model, not a curated record
CAAUGAAGCUGCUUUCAGUCGAGAUCCUGUGCUCUUCAAUGAAGGUGCAGCCUAGAACCUUGGAACUGCAAUGAAUUGAAGUUUUGGGAACAAUAGCAACACCUCCUCCCCUGGAUCCUUGGUCUUUGCGGCAGGCACUGCAAUUGGAAGGGACGCCCGGCGCGCUGAAAUGUGCAUCCGUCAAAGCAACGCAGAGCGGCGCGCACCUGCGAGUAUAUGGCAGGACCGACACCUGGCGUGGCAACGCCGGCGUCACGCGACGAAAUGAACGCCG